RNAcentral lists this ribosomal RNA (753 nucleotides) under Tiramieua clavata. RNAcentral describes it as "SSU rRNA". It matches the Rfam family "Eukaryotic small subunit ribosomal RNA", at positions 1144 to 1787 of the family's 1831-position model. Lineage: Eukaryota; Metazoa; Arthropoda; Insecta; Coleoptera; Staphylinidae. The record is from RNAcentral.
UUAAAGGAAUUGACGGAAGGGCACCACCAGGAGUGGAGCCUGCGGCUUAAUUUGACUCAACACGGGGAACCUCACCAGGUCCGGACAUGAUUGCGAUGGACAGAUCGAUAGCUCUUUCUAGAUCUCAUGGAUGGUGGUGCAUGGCCGUUCUUAGUUCGUGGAGCGAUUUGUCUGGUUAAUUCCGAUAACGAGCGAGACUCUACCUUACUAACUAAGACGUACGAUAUACACGAGGUCUGUUGACGUAAUUGUGUGUUUGGCCACUUUGGCGUGCGUGUACGUGCGCGUGCCCUCUUUCGGGGGGGUUACGUUGUAUCGUAUCGCGUAUCGUUACAAGUGGUUACAACUGCAUUACGGCACGGUCCAUACUAUCGGCGCAAAUGUUUUCUUCUUAGAAGAACAAGCUAUAUAUAGUAGCACGAGAGAGAGCAAUAACAGGUCUGUGAUGCCCUUAGAUGUCCUGGGCCGCACGCGUGCGACAAUGAAAGAGUCAAUAGGUGUCCUAGGCCGAAAUGUCCGGGUAAUCCUAGCAAUCUCUUUCGUGUUGGGGAUUGGGGCUUGAAAGUGCUUCCCAUGAACGAGGAAUUCCCAGUAAGCGUAGUUGAUCAAUCUACGCUGAUUGAGUCCCUGCCCUUUGUACACACCGCCCGUCGCUACUACCGAUGAGCGGGCUAGCGAGAUCUUCGGACCGGCGCCUCGAAAGAGGUCGUUACCGGAAAGUCGAUCAAACUUGCCCGUUUAGAGGAAGUAAAA